Molecule: long non-coding RNA, 351 nt
Organism: Gasterosteus aculeatus aculeatus (three-spined stickleback)
Lineage: Eukaryota; Metazoa; Chordata; Actinopteri; Perciformes; Gasterosteidae
Source: Ensembl
CAGUGGAGGAAAAGGACUACGGGGGUUCGGUUGAGUUGUCCUGCUUUGUGUUGAGAUCCUCUGAGUGUGAACACACAGUAAAGUGGCUUUAUGACGGCAAACAGACUGAUGUGAUGACGACAUCACACGCUGCUUGUGAAGCUACUGUGACGUUUAAAGCUCCUCUUCAUCAGAAGUCAAAGUAUUAUAAGUCACUGAGAUGUGAAGUGAGAAACAAUCAGAGUGGAAAAACUCUGCUGUUUGAAGCCUGCAGUCAGUUCUCAUGUGAACAAACAGGUACGUUUGUGAAAAGACGACAUCAUUUUAUUCCUCAUUCAGUCUCCUCAGGUAUAAACACUGAUUUAUUUCACC